UCGGGAAUUUUGGGCAAUGGGCGAAAGCCUGACCCAGCAACGCCGCGUGAAGGAUGAAAUCCCUCGGGAUGUAAACUUCGCAAGAACGGGAAGAAUAAGUAAGAGUUAAUAUCUCUUACGAUGACGGUACUGUUUGUAAGCUCCGGCUAACUCCGUGCCAGCAGCCGCGGUAAUACGGGGGGAGCAAGCGUUGUUCGGAUUUACUGGGCGUAAAGGGCGCGUAGGCGGCCUCUGCAAGUCGACUGUGAAAUCUCCGGGCUUAACCCGGAAAGGUCAGCCGAUACUGCAGGGCUAGAGUGCAGAAGGGGCAACUGGAAUUCUCGGUGUAGCGGUGAAAUGCGUAGAUAUCGAGAGGAACACCUGCGGCGAAGGCGGGUUGCUGGGCUGACACUGACGCUGAUGCGCGAAAGCUAGGGGAGCGAACGGGAUUAGAUACCCUGGUAGUCCUAGCCGUAAACGUUGGACGCUAGGUGUGGGCGGUAUCGACCCCGUCCGUGCCGAAGCUAACGC
This 510-nucleotide ribosomal RNA is filed under the name uncultured Acidobacteriota bacterium. Its description in RNAcentral is "bacterial SSU rRNA". It matches the Rfam family "Bacterial small subunit ribosomal RNA", at positions 355 to 858 of the family's 1533-position model. Lineage: Bacteria; Pseudomonadati; Acidobacteriota. The record is from RNAcentral.